CCAAACUUGGUCAUUUAGAGGAAGUAAAAGUCGUAACAAGGUCUCCGUAGGUGAACCUGCGGAGGGAUCAUCAUAGGAAAAUUUCCAACCUUGGGAAGAUAUGGCAGCAAUGUUUAGCAAUGUUGCUGUUGUAUUUUUCCAAGCAAACAAACAAAUGAUUGCAACUAUAGAAAGGAGAGAGAUGGAUUGGAUUGGAGAGAUGAGAUGAAACAAGUGUUUGCCUGAUACUAACAAACAUUGUGUGAUUUGGAGAAAUAAUAUACAACUUUCAACAACGGAUCUCUUGGCUCUCACAUCGAUGAAGAACGCAGC
This 312-nucleotide unclassified non-coding RNA is filed under the name uncultured fungus. Its description in RNAcentral is "partial contains small subunit ribosomal RNA, internal transcribed spacer 1, and 5.8S ribosomal RNA". The stretch from base 1 to 73 matches the Rfam family "Eukaryotic small subunit ribosomal RNA", at positions 1759 to 1831 of the family's 1831-position model. The record is from RNAcentral. Lineage: Eukaryota; Fungi.